AUGAGCGAAGCGGAGGCGCCUCUCAUCACCGAGGAGGCGGCGGAGCGCGGCUUGGCGUCCUCCGGCAGUCGCCGCCUCAGCGACGGGGGCGGCGAGCAGGGCUCUAGGAAGUACCGCAGGCGGUCGGACGCGCUAGCCUAUGGCGACCGUUACCAGAAGGCGGCCGCUCUCGUCGACCUCGCAGAAGAUGGUGUUGGCAUCCCUGAGGAUGUCUUGAAUGAUACGAGGUUCGGGAGGGCAAUGAGUUUCUAUUUUGUGUAUCUCCGGUUGGACUGGCUGUGGUCACUUAACCUGUUUGCUUUGAUUCUUUUGAAUUUUCUCGAGAAGCCUCUAUGGUGCCGGAAAGAUGCUCUACAUGCUUGUGAUCAAAGGGAUCUUUACUUUCUCGGGCAGUUGCCAUACUUCAGCAAAACUGAAUCACUCAUCUACGAGGGCCUUACACUUGUUAUUCUUGUAAUGGACAUCUUUUGUCCACUUUCUUAUGAAGGCCUAAAUAUUUUCUGGAGGAGCACCACGAAUAAGUUGAAGAUUGUUCUUCUCUUCAUCUUAGCAUGCGACAUACUGGUGUUUGCCUUUAGUUCCCAACCUUUCAGAUUAGCUCCAUACAUCCGCGUAGUUUUUCUAAUCAUGACUAUCAGGGAACUGCGAAUGUGUGCUAUCACACUGGCCGGUCUUAUUGGGACAUACCUCAAUGUUUUGGCCCUCUCUCUGUUGUUCCUCUUAUUUGCAAGCUGGCUAGCUUAUGUAACAUUUGAGGACACUCCACAAGGGAAGACCAUUUUUUCAUCAUACGGUGUAACACUGUAUCAGAUGUUUGUCCUCUUCACCACCUCCAAUAAUCCUGAUGUAUGGGUGCAUGCUUACAAGAUAUCCCGCUGGUAUUCCCUAUUUUUCAUCGUCUACGUGCUUUUGGGAGUUUACUUCCUGACAAAUUUGAUUCUUGCUGUCAUCUAUGAUAGCUUUAAGGAGCAGUUCGCAAAGCAACUUGUUCAGGUGGACUCUAUCAGGAAAAAUAUAUUACAGAAGGCAUUUGAUCUUAUCGAUACCAACAAUCGGGGUUAUCUCGACAGGGAACAGUGCAUAUCAUUGCUUAAUGAGCUGAACAAGUACAGGUCCUUACCAAAGACUUCAAGGGAAGAUUUUGAAUUAAUUUUUGCCGAGCUUGAUCGAAGUGGUGAUUUCAAGGUUACCUCCGAAGAAUUUGCUGACCUAUGCAAUACCAUUGCAAUAAAAUUUCAGAAAGAACCACCGCCGUCUUAUCUGGAAAAGUUCCCAUUCUACCAUUCACCACUUUGUGGGAGGUUGAAAUCUUUUGUGCGGAGCCGCAUGUUUGAGUACAUUAUUGUUUUUGUUCUUCUGAUAAACCUUGUUGCCGUCAUUAUCGAAACAACGCUUGAUAUAGAAAACAGCUCCUCACAGGAAACGUGGCAGGAAGUAGAGUUCUUUCUUGGAUGGAUUUAUGUAGCCGAGAUGGCACUGAAAAUAUUUUCAUUAGGAUUUGGUGCUUAUUGGAUGGAAGGCCAAAACAAAUUUGAUUUUGUGCUUACUUGGACUAUAUUUAUUGGAGAGACUCUAACGUUUGCCUUCCCGUCAAAGCUUCCCUUUCUUUCAAAUGGAGAAUGGAUUCGGUAUCUUCUCCUUGGAAGGGUGUUGCGCUUAACAAGAAUUUUGCUGCAAGUUCAGCGUUUCAGAGCAUUUGUUGCAACAUUCUUUACCCUGAUGUCUAGUUUGAUGCCAUAUUUGGGGAUAGUAUUCUGUGUUCUUUGCAUGUACUGCUCCAUUGGUUUGCAGAUUUUUGGGGGCAUUGUGUAUGCUGGUAACCCAACACUAGAAGAAACGGACCUCUUCAAUAAUGACUACCUUCUUUUUAACUUCAAUGACUAUCCAAGUGGUAUGGUUACUCUGUUCAAUUUGUUAGUGAUGGGCAAUUGGCAAGUAUGGAUGGAGAGUUAUUGGCAACUGACUGGAACUUCUUGGAGCCUGAUUUAUUUUGUCAGCUUUUACCUUAUUUCAAUAUUACUACUGCUUAAUCUGAUUGUAGCAUUUGUGUUGGAGGCAUUUUUUGCUGAGAUGGAACUGGAGAAAGGUGAAGAGGUUGAUAUCCAGAAUCCUACGUCUGGAGGAAUAAAGAAACGCCGGUCUAUGCGUGUGAGGUCAAAGGGUACGAUGGUUGAUAUUCUUCUGCACCAUAUGCUGAGCAAUGAACUUGAUGGAUCUCAAAACUCUUGA
This 2229-nucleotide ribosomal RNA is filed under the name Triticum aestivum (bread wheat). RNAcentral describes it as "partial small subunit ribosomal RNA". Lineage: Eukaryota; Viridiplantae; Streptophyta; Magnoliopsida; Poales; Poaceae. The record is from RNAcentral.